AAAUUUGAUGUGGAAAUGUUAAGAAAGGUUAGGGGUAAAAAGGGAAAUUCGCAAGAAGGCUCAUAGAAAUAUUGCGGAAGGCUAAGGGAAAAUUUGAAAUUUGAAAAAUAAUUUUCAUGAAUUACAAAAUAAAAAUAAAAUAAAAAAAGAAGAUGGGCUUGCACAAAUGGCCAAGGUGGCCGGCCAAAAGGGAUAUGGGCCAAGGCCCAUAUGAAGGCUAAGAUAAGUAAUAAAAAGAGGACCAACUUAUCAUUUUAUCAUCUUCAUCACAUGAGAAAAAUCAAGAAGCUUGUAGAAAGAAAAAAAAAAGACCACCAUAUAUUCGGCCAUGGGCAUGAAAAAUUAGCCCCUUGAAAUCUUGAUCAAAAAAAUUAUUUCUCCUAGCAUUCAUACUAAGUUGAAGGUCCUCUUUAACGUGGUAUAAUUGUUGGAGCGAGAAAACUACUCUUUAUUGCAAAUUCUCAACCCUAGCCAAGUGAGAAGUUGAAGGAAAAAGAUUUUACGAAAGACGAGACUUAAGUGCGAACUAGCUUAGGAAGCAGACAAGGUUCAGGGACGCGGUCCGGCGAUCCAGCUACCUAGGGGGAGUCAGCACCGGGAGUCAGACAGCUCCACUUGCCUCGGAGACUGUUCCUGUUUUGGUAUAACUUUGUUUAUUGCACUGUCACGACCCAACUAGGGGCCGCGACGGGUACCCGAUACUUGUACCGAGCACCCCCUUAUCUCGUAUCGUACUUUUACUACUAGGUGGGCCGUAUAGACUAUACCGUAUCUUUUUUUUUCUGUUGCUUAACGCUGCAUUAAUGGCAUAAUUGUAAACAUGGACUUAUAAACUUUACUAGCACAUUAUACAACGACGAGGACAACAAAAGUACAAAACAUCUGACUGUACAUAUCUGUCUACGAGCCUCUAAACAAGGUACAUCUACAUAUACAAGAAGGACCGGUUCUACCGUGCCCGAAUAUAUACACAAAAGUAGUACCAAGAAACUGAGGCUCCGGAACAACUGGAGCGCUGCCACAGUACUGCUGAUGGAGCUUCUAAGAGUCAAAUAUGUCUACCUGCUGACCUGCGUGGCAUGAAACGCAGCGUCCACAAGAAGGGACGUCAGUACGAGUAAUGUACCGAGUAUGUAAGGCAUGAAUAAUAACAUACGAAAAAUAUAGAACAAGGAUAAUGACA
This is a long non-coding RNA of Lycium barbarum (goji berry), 1183 nucleotides long. RefSeq lists it as uncharacterized. The record is from RefSeq and is a predicted model, not a curated record. Lineage: Eukaryota; Viridiplantae; Streptophyta; Magnoliopsida; Solanales; Solanaceae. The transcript has 3 exons.